AAUUGGCUUAAUCUCAGCUGGCAACUGUGAGGAGUUAAUAAUUCUCACAGUGGUAUCUGGGAUUAUGCUAAAC
MicroRNA precursor from Meleagris gallopavo (turkey), 73 nucleotides. It matches the Rfam family "mir-216 microRNA precursor family". The record is from Rfam. Lineage: Eukaryota; Metazoa; Chordata; Aves; Galliformes; Phasianidae.